UUAUCCUUUUUUUUUUUUUUUUUUUUUGGUUCUUUUUUUCGGAGCUGGGGACCGAACCCAGGGCCUUGCGCUUCCUAGGUAAGCGCUCUACCACUGAGCUAAAUCCCCAGCCCCCCAGAUUAUCCUUAAAUCAAAAUGGUUCAUGUCACAUCCAGAGUUUACUUGGCUUCCUUGACUUCCAAAAGAUGUUGACGCUUUCCGUUGCAAAGUUUCUCUCAAAGGCCAGGCUUGCUGCCUCAACCACAAUGCAGACCUCCAGUGACUUCGCCUCAGAGGAGGCUCCGCCCUCCCUUAUCAGAGUGGUUGAUGUGAUAAGGAAAAAAAAGAGGUCUUUUUGCCUUUCCGGAAGUUCACUGAAGCCCCGGCUUAAUAGAGCUCAGAAAAGGGUAACGCAUGCUGACCUUUCCCACCAGGAAGUCCUGCUCCAGCUAUGAGCAGACUCACAGGGUUCUAGAGGGUAAUGGGAUUGGAAGAGAGGCAGCCUCUGUUUCAGUGCCCUGGGCUGAAAAGUGCGAAGGAGAAUAUUCUUUGUAUUCCGAGGUCUGCUUGCUUGGCAGUGGAGGGGUCGCUGCCGGUGUUAAGUCAGGAGGUCUCCUGCAGAUUUUCUUGAUUCAAAUCCUUCGUUCAGAAUGGGGUUUCUUAAAAUUUCCCCACUAACAGCCCCUUCUCAGUGCAAGAAACUUUUACAAGGCCCUGAG
RNAcentral lists this long non-coding RNA (698 nucleotides) under Rattus norvegicus (Norway rat). Its description in RNAcentral is "long non-coding RNA NONRATT006217". The record is from RNAcentral. Lineage: Eukaryota; Metazoa; Chordata; Mammalia; Rodentia; Muridae.